RNAcentral lists this ribosomal RNA (709 nucleotides) under Geomorium australianum. Its description in RNAcentral is "eukaryotic LSU rRNA". The stretch from base 273 to 426 matches the Rfam family "5.8S ribosomal RNA". The record is from RNAcentral. Lineage: Eukaryota; Fungi; Ascomycota; Pezizomycetes; Pezizales; Geomoriaceae.
AUCAUUAACACGUCCCCACAAUGGAAAAGGGAGGGGCAACUCACAGGCCCCUCCCUUCCAACACCCUCUCCGCGUACCUCUCCGUGUUGCUUCCCCGGGACGACGGUCCCCUCCGUCCGGUGUCGGACGCCUCUCGCCCCCCGUCACUCGACGGUCGCGGGUGGCGGCUCCCGUUCCCGAGCUGCCCGGGGAAGGUAACCCCCAAACAGAAAAUCGCAUUUGAACCAGAUGUCUGACGAGGGCCCAGGGCCCGAUGUAUACAAAUACUUGAAAACUUUCAACAACGGAUCUCUAGGUUCUCGCAUCGAUGAAGAACGCAGCGAAAUGCGAUAAGUAAUGUGAAUUGCAGAAUUCAGUGAAUCAUCGAAUCUUUGAACGCACAUUGCGCCCUUUGGCAUUCCUUAGGGCAUGCCUGUUCGAGCGUCACUAAAAGUCCCCCCCUCACACAAGCUGUGGUGAUGGCGUCGGUAGACUUGGCGGUCCCUGCGACCCCUCCCGUCCACCCCGUCAAAAUCGAUCGGCGGACAACUGAUAUCGGCUGCUGACUUAGUAGAAUCGACUCUUGUCGGCCACAGGUCGCGCAAUUGUCAGUCAGGAGUCGAGUCGAGUCCCGCCCCUUCUCCGGACCCCCGUCCAAACACCUCUGGGUUGACCUCGGAUCAGGUAGGGAUACCCGCUGAACUUAAGCAUAUCAAUAAGCGGAGGAAAA